Molecule: ribosomal RNA, 208 nt
Filed under: uncultured bacterium
Lineage: Bacteria
Description: partial 16S ribosomal RNA
Rfam family: Bacterial small subunit ribosomal RNA
Source: RNAcentral
CGCGUAGGCGGCCUGUGCAAGUCAGUUGUGAAAUCUCCGGGCUUAACUCGGAAAGGUCAACUGAUACUGCUCGGCUAGAGUGCAGAAGGGGCAACUGGAAUUCUUGGUGUAGCGGUGAAAUGCGUAGAUAUCAAGAGGAACACCUGCGGCGAAGGCGGGUUGCUGGGCUGACACUGACGCUGAAGUGCGAAAGCUAGGGGAGCGAACG